UACGGAGGGGGUUAGCGUUGUUCGGAAUUACUGGGCGUAAAGCGCGCGUAGGCGGAACGUUAAGUCAGAGGUGAAAUCCCGGAGCUCAACUCCGGAACUGCCUUUGAUACUGGUAGUCCAGAGACCGAGAGAGGUAAGUGGAACUCCUAGUGUAGAGGUGGAAUUCGUAGAUAUUAGGAAGAACACCAGUGGCGAAGGCGGCUUACUGGCUCGGAACUGACGCUGAGGUACGAAAGCGUGGGGAGCAAACAGG
RNAcentral lists this unclassified non-coding RNA (253 nucleotides) under uncultured Alphaproteobacteria bacterium. RNAcentral describes it as "contains 16S-23S intergenic spacer region". It matches the Rfam family "Bacterial small subunit ribosomal RNA", at positions 524 to 776 of the family's 1533-position model. The record is from RNAcentral. Lineage: Bacteria; Pseudomonadati; Pseudomonadota; Alphaproteobacteria.